CGUAGAUAGGAUUUGAACCUAUGAUCUAAAGAUUAUGAACCUUUCGAGUUACCAAAUUGCUCCACUACG
RNAcentral lists this transfer RNA (69 nucleotides) under Pogoniopsis schenckii. Its description in RNAcentral is "tRNA-fMet". Lineage: Eukaryota; Viridiplantae; Streptophyta; Magnoliopsida; Asparagales; Orchidaceae. The record is from RNAcentral.